UGGGGAAUUUUGCGCAAUGGGGGAAACCCUGACGCAGCAACGCCGCGUGGAGGAUGAAAUCCCUUGGGAUGUAAACUCCUUUCGAUCGGGACGAUUAUGACGGUACCGGAAGAAGAAGCCCCGGCUAACUUCGUGCCAGCAGCCGCGGUAAUACGAGGGGGGCAAGCGUUGUUCGGAAUUAUUGGGCGUAAAGGGCGCGUAGGCGGUUUGACAAGUCUGAUGUGAAAUCUCUGGGCUCAACCCAGAGUCUGCAUUAGAAACUGUCGGGCUUGAGUAUGGGAGAGGUGAGUGGAAUUUCCGGUGUAGCGGUGAAAUGCGUAGAUAUCGGAAGGAACACCUGUGGCGAAAGCGGCUCACUGGACCAUAACUGACGCUGAGGCGCGAAAGCUAGGGGAGCAAACAGGAUUAGAUACCCCCGUAGUCC
Molecule: ribosomal RNA, 424 nt
Filed under: uncultured bacterium
Lineage: Bacteria
Description: bacterial SSU rRNA
Rfam family: Bacterial small subunit ribosomal RNA
Source: RNAcentral